RNAcentral lists this ribosomal RNA (939 nucleotides) under Staphylococcus aureus. RNAcentral describes it as "bacterial LSU rRNA". It matches the Rfam family "Bacterial large subunit ribosomal RNA", at positions 1 to 935 of the family's 2925-position model. The record is from RNAcentral. Lineage: Bacteria; Bacillati; Bacillota; Bacilli; Caryophanales; Staphylococcaceae.
AGAUUAAGUUAUUAAGGGCGCACGGUGGAUGCCUUGGCACUAGAAGCCGAUGAAGGACGUUACUAACGACGAUAUGCUUUGGGGAGCUGUAAGUAAGCUUUGAUCCAGAGAUUUCCGAAUGGGGAAACCCAGCAUGAGUUAUGUCAUGUUAUCGAUAUGUGAAUACAUAGCAUAUCAGAAGGCACACCCGGAGAACUGAAACAUCUUAGUACCCGGAGGAAGAGAAAGAAAAUUCGAUUCCCUUAGUAGCGGCGAGCGAAACGGGAAGAGCCCAAACCAACAAGCUUGCUUGUUGGGGUUGUAGGACACUCUAUACGGAGUUACAAAGGACGACAUUAGACGAAUCAUCUGGAAAGAUGAAUCAAAGAAGGUAAUAAUCCUGUAGUCGAAAAUGUUGUCUCUCUUGAGUGGAUCCUGAGUACGACGGAGCACGUGAAAUUCCGUCGGAAUCUGGGAGGACCAUCUCCUAAGGCUAAAUACUCUCUAGUGACCGAUAGUGAACCAGUACCGUGAGGGAAAGGUGAAAAGCACCCCGGAAGGAGAGUGAAAUAGAACCUGAAACCGUGUGCUUACAAGUAGUCAGAGCCCGUUAAUGGGUGAUGGCGUGCCUUUUGUAGAAUGAACCGGCGAGUUACGAUUUGAUGCAAGGUUAAGCAGUAAAUGUGGAGCCGUAGCGAAAGCGAGUCUGAAUAGGGCGUUUAGUAUUUGGUCGUAGACCCGAAACCAGGUGAUCUACCCUUGGUCAGGUUGAAGUUCAGGUAACACUGAAUGGAGGACCGAACCGACUUACGUUGAAAAGUGAGCGGAUGAACUGAGGGUAGCGGAGAAAUUCCAAUCGAACCUGGAGAUAGCUGGUUCUCUCCGAAAUAGCUUUAGGGCUAGCCUCAAGUGAUGAUUAUUGGAGGUAGAGCACUGUUUGGACGAGGGGCCCCUCUCGGG